This 497-nucleotide ribosomal RNA is filed under the name uncultured bacterium. RNAcentral's name for it is "partial 16S ribosomal RNA". It matches the Rfam family "Bacterial small subunit ribosomal RNA", at positions 28 to 507 of the family's 1533-position model. The record is from RNAcentral.
GAUGAACGCUGGCGGCAUGUCUAAUACAUGCAAGUCGAGCGAACAGACGAGGAGCUUGCUCCUCUGACGUUAGCUGCGGACGGGGGAGUAACACGUGGAUAAACUACCUAUAAGACUGGGAUAACUUCGGGAAACCGGAGCUAAUACCGUAUAAUAUAUUGAACCGCAUGGUUCCAUAUUGAAAGACGGUUUUACUGUCACUUAUAGAUGGAUCCGCGCCGCGUUAGCUAGUGGGUAAGGUAACGGCUUACCAAGGCAACGAUGCGUAGCCGACCUGAGAGGGUGCUCGCCCACACUGGAUCUAAGACCCGGUCCCGACUCCUACGGGAGGCCGCAGCAGGGCAUCUUCCGACAUGGCCGACAGCCUGACGCACGACCCCCCCGCGAGUGAUGUAGGCCUUCGGUUCGUAAAACUCUGUUAUUCGGGCCGAACAAAUGUGUAAGUAACUAUGCACGUCUUGACGCUACCCUAUAAGAAAGGAACGGCUAACUACGAG